GCUCGUAUGGCUCAGAGGUAGAGCACUCCCUUGGGUAAGGGAGAGGUCGCGGGUUCAAUUCCCGCUAUGAGCUCCA
This 76-nucleotide transfer RNA is filed under the name Campylobacter coli. Its description in RNAcentral is "tRNA-OTHER". It matches the Rfam family "tRNA". From Rfam's summary of the family: Transfer RNA (tRNA) molecules are approximately 80 nucleotides in length. Their secondary structure includes four short double-helical elements and three loops (D, anti-codon, and T loops). The record is from RNAcentral. Lineage: Bacteria; Pseudomonadati; Campylobacterota; Epsilonproteobacteria; Campylobacterales; Campylobacteraceae.